This 479-nucleotide ribosomal RNA is filed under the name uncultured Pelotomaculum sp. RNAcentral describes it as "bacterial SSU rRNA". It matches the Rfam family "Bacterial small subunit ribosomal RNA", at positions 900 to 1382 of the family's 1533-position model. The record is from RNAcentral. Lineage: Bacteria; Bacillati; Bacillota; Clostridia; Eubacteriales; Desulfotomaculaceae.
CUCAAAGGAAUUGACGGGGCCGCACAAGCGGUGGAGCAUGUGGUUAAUUCGACGCAACGCGAAGAACCUUACCAGGGCUUGACAUCCCCUGACCGCGUAUGAAAGUACGAAUUCACCUUCGGGUGACAGGGAGACAGGUGGUGCAUGGUUGUCGUCAGCUCGUGUCGUGAGAUGUUGGGUUAAGUCCCGCAACGAGCGCAACCCCUACGUUUAGUUGCUAACGCGUGAAGGCGAGCACUCUAGACGAACUGCCGUUGACAAACGGAGGAAGUGGGAUGACGUCAAAUCAUCAUGCCCCUUAUGUUCUGGGCUACACACGUGCUACAAUGGCCGGUACAGACGGACGCAAAGCCGCGAGGUGGAGCAAAUCCUAAAAAGCCGGUCUCAGUUCGGAUUGCAGGCUGCAAUUCGCCUGCAUGAAGUCGGAAUCGCUAGUAAUCGCAGGUCAGCAUACUGCGGUGAAUACGUUCCCGGGCCUU